AUGCCGGGAGAGCGCCCGCUGGGGCCGCCGAAGGGGCUGAAACUCUCAGGUAAAAGGACCGGC
This 63-nucleotide non-coding RNA is filed under the name human gut metagenome. RNAcentral's name for it is "Glycine riboswitch". It matches the Rfam family "Glycine riboswitch aptamer", at positions 9 to 86 of the family's 94-position model. From Rfam's summary of the family: This family represents the bacterial glycine riboswitch. Glycine riboswitches usually consist of two metabolite-binding aptamers domains with similar structures in tandem. The aptamers cooperatively bind glycine to regulate the expression of downstream genes. The record is from RNAcentral.